This 508-nucleotide ribosomal RNA is filed under the name Stumpffia miovaova. RNAcentral's name for it is "partial 12S ribosomal RNA". The stretch from base 1 to 425 matches the Rfam family "Bacterial small subunit ribosomal RNA", at positions 886 to 1533 of the family's 1533-position model. Lineage: Eukaryota; Metazoa; Chordata; Amphibia; Anura; Microhylidae. The record is from RNAcentral.
GCCCCCACUUAAAACCCAAAGGACUUGACGGUGUCCCACCCACCUAGAGGAGCCUGUUCUAUAAUCGACACCCCCCGAUACACCUCACCACCCCUAGCACCACUCAGUCUGUAUACCGCCGUCGUAAGCUUACCAUGUAAACGCCAGUGAGCUAAAAGAUUCUUCACACCAACACGUCAGGUCAAGGUGCAACUAACGGAGUGGCAAGCAAUGCGCUACAAUUUCUACCAUAGAACACACAAAAACUGCAUGAAACACAGCUACCAAGGCGGAUUUAGAAGUAAAAAGAAAACAGAGAGUUCUUUUUAACUUGGCCCUGAGACGCGUACACACCGCCCGUCACCCUCCUCACACCCACAACAACAAGAGGAGGCAAGUCGUAACAUGGUAAGUGUACCGGAAGGUGCACUUGGACAAUCAUAAUGUAGCUUAACUAAAGUAUCCCGCUUACACCGAGAUGAUGUCAACACCUACUGACCAUUUUGAGCCAAAACCCUAGCCCCCCCCC